CCUCUCUACCCCAUGUACUCCACGCUUAGAUAACAAUACAGUGCCUCUCUUUCUUUACCUCUUUCCCCACAAUUUCUUCCUUUUUCUUGAAUCCCAGCCCAUCCUUGAGGCCUGCCACCAAUUGGAAGAUCUUCAGUUCCACCUCUUUCCUGGACAUCUGACUGUAUUGCCCAUCAUUGUCUAUGCUCUGCCCACCGAGAAGAUGCAUCUGGAUCCCUGGUGUCACUUAUUGCUGAACUGUUUGAAUACCAAGUUAUACCGACCUGAAUCUCCCAAGUACCAACAGCAGCCUGGCUCGAAGCCAGAAGGAAUGACUGGAUAUCCCAAGUACCUGAUGGCCACAUAAACAUUUGAAGUAUCAAGCAUUAGAAGAAAGCAAUAGAGGCAAUUUUUAAAAGCACCUUCAGAAGGAAAAUGGAUGUAUGCAACCAAGACAAAGAACAUUUUGAGGCAACACACAUCUGUGGCUACUGAGUGCCUGUUUUGAAUUACAUUUAAAUUGCCUGAAGAGCAUUUGGCAAAUGCAAAGUUUGAAGUUGGUUU
This 543-nucleotide long non-coding RNA is filed under the name Homo sapiens (human). Its description in RNAcentral is "HSALNT0347059". Lineage: Eukaryota; Metazoa; Chordata; Mammalia; Primates; Hominidae. The record is from RNAcentral.